This is a long non-coding RNA of Hemiscyllium ocellatum (epaulette shark), 1277 nucleotides long. RefSeq lists it as uncharacterized. The transcript has 2 exons. NCBI's taxonomy places the organism in Eukaryota, Metazoa, Chordata, Chondrichthyes, Orectolobiformes, Hemiscylliidae. The record is from RefSeq and is a predicted model, not a curated record.
CUGAGCCACUGUGCUAACCUGGAACCUCCUGACUGCCGAAUGCAAAGGGAAUUCAGCCCAAUUCCAACUGUCCCAGGAUAAAAUCCCAUUGCUAGCAGCUGUGAUUUAAAAACAGCACCAAGAGAAAAUUCAUAGAGAGGAGCUGCCAGGAGACAUUCACUAAAACUUUCAACUCGGUGGAGACCCCAAUAAUUUCUGAUGUUACUGAGAAACCGAAACCCAGAAAUCCUAAUCUGUGAAAGCUGACCACACCCAUUCCAUCUGCAUUAAAAUAAACCCAAGGCAUCACUAGUUGUUUAUUCAAGUGGUCCUAACUAGCCAGCUUGGUAACGGUCAUUCAAUCUCUCUCUUAAAAUAAACCAGAACAAAAUAACUUCUUAAAGCUACAGCAUCAUCACACUAGUCAGCACAUCGAGCUGUCAUUCAGGAACCAGGGGUAACACAAUCAGGCCUUUGACCCAAUCGGACGAGGAAGAAGCCAGUCAGUCCCUUGAGUGACUUACACAGGAACAGUAGGAGGCCAUUCCCACCUCAAUGCACUUACACGGGGCAGAAUGAGGUAAUUGAUGCUGAUUCCUGAUGAACGGCUUAUGCUCGAAACGUCGAUUCUCCUGCUGUGCUUUUCCAGCAAACCACUGUCUACUCUGAUCUUCAGCAUCAACAGUCCUCGCUGUCUCCUAAUUGAUGCUCUAACAUGAUGACCAAGUGGAGCAGAGGCUGCACACACAGACUGCUCCACGUUGUUCCUCGUAGCUCCGUCUGUCAUGAUACACACGUGGGACUUUAACGUGGUUUUCUCGCGGUGAGGAGGGAAGCCAUAUGUCUUGUGUGAAGUUACAAGAAGGCUCCUUCCAUCUCCGGGAAGCCAGCCUGGUGUUCUCUAUGUAGGGUGGAUGCUGAUGGGAAUGGCUACCUGUUUCAGAUGGAAGGUAUUGUGGCUGCUGUUGGGGAUUGUGAGCAACCUGACGUUCAGUUCGGGUUCACACGCCGACUACACAAUAACGUGGGGAGAGUUAAUUAAGGCAUAUAAACUAUUAGGAAAGUCACGUUAGACUGAUGGAUGGACUCUCUAAAUUCAAAUAAUGCUGAUCUUGUUCAUGUUGAUCUUGUCUAGUGCACAUCCUGUUCAAUGUAACCGUUAUGCCUUACUCUGUCCAAGUCUAUUUCCACCCUAUGAUCUGUCUGGCCAUGUUUACUAUGAUCUGCCUCCACUGCUCAUAAAUAAAGUGUUUCCCUGUACUGAGGUACACGUGACAAUAAAUCAAACCAAUAACUCC